RNAcentral lists this long non-coding RNA (1736 nucleotides) under Homo sapiens (human). RNAcentral's name for it is "HSALNT0375328". The record is from RNAcentral. Lineage: Eukaryota; Metazoa; Chordata; Mammalia; Primates; Hominidae.
AAAAGGAAGGGAAAGAGGAAGGGAAAGAGGAAGGAAGGAAGGAAGGAAGGGCAAUUGGUACUAAAUUCUUGUAGUGCCCAGGCACUCUUCCCCUAGUGGGCAGGGCAGAGAGACUGUGAAAGGUGGAGAUGAAGGAGAGCCAUCAUUUCACUCUUGAGAAAGGACGGAGCAGGCUGUGUGGAAGAGAUGAGAUCUGGGAUAAAUUGGAAAAGGUAUCAAAAAAUUAGGAGGGAAGAAAUAUUUUCAGCAAGUCUGCUACCACACUCCUCAAAUUCAACUAAGAGUGGUGAUUUAAUGUCAGAAAAGCUCCGCAUCCAGCCCUAUUAGCAGGGGCAGAAACAGACGCCAGGAGACACUGCCCACCUCCUGGGAAUCGGAAUCAGCCUUCACAGCACCAGGAGCCUGGGGUGGGCUGCUGUUUCUGUAAGGUUUUAAAAAGUCAGAGAGCACAGAGUUCUUCCGGAGCCUAUUCUGACUCCUCCUGAGUUUUGUUCACGUGAGAUAAUAUCCUCCUGGGAAAAAAUCUUGAUGGAAAGCCAAGGCCCCCCUGCUGGCUGCAAGAAACCGGAAUUCGGCCUUUUCGGCGCGCACCCGGACACGGCGCUGGGAUGAAGGCGCCCAGUUCAUGCCCAGCCAGGGCCUGCAGGGACAACGGGAUGGUCACAGGACGGCUGCCUCAGCUCCAAACAGCAACAUCUGAAGGAGAAAGCUGCAGGCCCGGACUGGAUGGCUUUGGCUAAGGAACCAACGCAGGUGGAGAAGGAGGCUGACGAUGGAGCCCAGGCACUCCAGCCUUGAAGGAGGAGAACCUGACCCUGAGCCUGCAUGGCAGCCGUGCGGGGGGACUUCGGGGGGUUUCCCCUUUGCUUCCAUCCAAAGAAAGUGCCCCACGUUUGAAAGCCUCUGUGCUGAAUGCUCCCAAUGCCCUCCGAUUCCAUCUAGGUCGUCCCUACCACCAAGGCAGAGCAAGAUACUAAAUGGAUGUCAUUUCUGGGCACUUACAUAAUUGGCUAAGGCUGGUCUCAGCGGAAAACAGCCGCUGGCCCUGUCCACACACACACGCGGACCCACGGGGCCACUUGGAAGUCGGACGCUCCUGGCCUGACACUGCAUUGUCUCCAGCAGAAUGAGAAACACAGCAGAGAGGGAAUGGUCAACCCCAGAGCACUGGCCACUUUGGGAAAAUGGACAUCUCCUCUCCUCUGGCUGAAGGAAAGUAAGAAGACACGGUGUUGCCCCAGGCUAUGUAGCCCACAACAAUUUUCCAUCCAAAUGCAUGAGCCCGGGUUCCCGAUGAAGACUUGGCUUCUCCUGAGCCCGGGGGUCCUGGCUGCUCUGGUGCCAACCCCUGGGUGUCUUUGAGCUGCAGAGGGCUUGCCACGUGCAUCCUCCUCCCUCUGCCUGAGCCACGAAGACCAGGCUGGACUAUGUUCCACAAAGACUUUUUCCCCUCAGGGGUCUCCUCCCAACAACACUUAACCAAGCUUUGUAUUCAACAAGGAACACAUUCCGCCUCCACCAAACCUCAUUGAAAACAGAGAGGUGCAUGGAUAACCAUGGCCAAAUCAUAACUGGUAUGCAUGCUCAUGGUUUUCUUUGAAAAUCUAACUGUCCUUUAAAAAUCUUUCCCACAUGAAGAGCCACAAUAAAUGACAAAUACAAAUUAUAAGUUUAUAAGGAAAGUAUGCUAGUAAGUGUAAGCAAAUUAAAAGGAUGUCCCAUAGGGUGGUAACAAC